RNAcentral lists this ribosomal RNA (519 nucleotides) under uncultured bacterium. RNAcentral's name for it is "bacterial SSU rRNA". It matches the Rfam family "Bacterial small subunit ribosomal RNA", at positions 26 to 518 of the family's 1533-position model. The record is from RNAcentral.
AGGACGAACGCUGGCGGCGUGCCUAAUACAUGCAAGUCGAACGGUCUUUCUAUGGAAGCUUGCUUCCACUGAGAAGAUAGUGGCGAACGGGUGAGUAACACGUGGGUAACCUGCCCAUAAGAGGGGGGAUAACAUCCGGAAACGGGUGCUAAUACCGCAUAGUUUUCUUGAUCGCAUGAUCGGGAAAGGAAAGACGGCCUUUGUGCUGUCGCUUAUGGAUGGACCCGCGGCGUAUUAGUUAGUUGGUGAGGUAACGGCUCACCAAGACGAUGAUACGUAGCCGACCUGAGGGGUGAUCGGCCACAUUGGGACUGAGACACGGCCCAAACUCCUACGGGAGGCAGCAGUAGGGAAUCUUCCGCAAUGGACGAAAGUCUGACGGAGCAACGCCGCGUGAGUGAAAGAAGGUUUUCGGAUCGUAAAACUCUGUUGUCAGAGAAGAACAAGUUGGAGAGUAACUGCUCCAGCCUUGACGGUAUCUGACCAGAAAGCCACGGCUAACUACGUGCCAGCCGCCGC